This is a ribosomal RNA of 536 nucleotides. It matches the Rfam family "Bacterial large subunit ribosomal RNA", at positions 1844 to 2584 of the family's 2925-position model.
CAUAAGAGGUCCAGCCUGCCCAGUGACCCUGUUCAACGGCCGCGGUAUCCUGACCGUGCGAAGGUAGCGUAAUCACUUGUUCUUUAAAUGAGGACUAGUAUGAAUGGCAUCACGAAGAUUAUACUGUCUCCUUUUCUUAAUCAGUUAAACUAAUCUCCCCGUGAAGAAGCGAGGAUAAACAUAUAAGACGAGAAGACCCUAUGGAGCUUUAAACUAUACUACAUUUGUCCAAUUUUAUUUAAUUUCAGAAAAAUAAUUAUCUCAACAUUAUGAUUGUAAGUUUUCGGUUGGGGUGACCACGGAGAAAAAUCAAUCCUCCGCGCUGAACAGACAAUUUCUUUAACCAAAAGUUACUCCUUUAAGUAUCAACAAAUUGACAUUAUUGACCCAAUAUUUUUUGAUCAACGAACCAAGUUACCCUAGGGAUAACAGCGCAAUCCAUUUCAAGAGCUCCUAUCGACAAAUGGGUUUACGACCUCGAUGUUGGAUCAGGGUAUCCCAGUGGUGUAGCCGCUACUAAAGGUUCGUUGGUUCAA